RNAcentral lists this ribosomal RNA (467 nucleotides) under uncultured bacterium. RNAcentral describes it as "partial 16S ribosomal RNA". It matches the Rfam family "Bacterial small subunit ribosomal RNA", at positions 28 to 506 of the family's 1533-position model. The record is from RNAcentral.
GACGAACGCUGGCGGCGUGCUUAACACAUGCAAGUCGAACGGAAAGGCCCUGCUUUUGUGGGGUGCUCGAGUGGCGAACGGGUGAGUAACACGUGAGUAACCUGCCCUUGACUUUGGGAUAACUUCAGGAAACUGGGGCUAAUACCGGAUAGGAGCUCCUGCUGCAUGGUGGGGGUUGGAAAGUUUCGGCGGUUGGGGAUGGACUCGCGGCUUAUCAGCUUGUUGGUGGGGUAGUGGCUUACCAAGGCUUUGACGGGUAGCCGGCCUGAGAGGGUGACCGGCCACAUGGGGACUGAGAUACGGCCCAGACUCCUACGGGAGGCAGGAGUGGGGAAUAUUGCACAAUGGGCGGAAGCCUGAUGCAGCAACGCCGCGUGCGGGAUGACGGCCUUCGGGUUGUAAACCGCUUUCGCCUGUGACGAAGCGUGAGUGACGGUAAUGGGUAAAGAAGCACCGGCUAACUACGU